UACGUAGGGUGCAAGCGUUGUCCGGAAUUAUUGGGCGUAAAGAGCUCGUAGGCGGUUUGUCGCGUCGAAUGUGAAAACCCGGGGCUCAACCCCGGGCCUGCAUUCGAUACGGGCAGACUAGGGUUCGGUAGGGGAGUCUGGAAUUCCUGGUGUAGCGGUGAAAUGCGCAGAUAUCAGGAGGAACACCGGUGGCGAAGGCGGGACUCUGGGCCGAUACUGACGCUGAGGAACGAAAGCAUGGGGAGCGAACAGG
This 253-nucleotide ribosomal RNA is filed under the name uncultured bacterium. RNAcentral describes it as "partial 16S ribosomal RNA". It matches the Rfam family "Bacterial small subunit ribosomal RNA", at positions 524 to 776 of the family's 1533-position model. The record is from RNAcentral.